Molecule: ribosomal RNA, 743 nt
Filed under: uncultured bacterium
Lineage: Bacteria
Description: bacterial SSU rRNA
Rfam family: Bacterial small subunit ribosomal RNA
Source: RNAcentral
AGCGGCGGAUGGGUGAGUAACACGUGGGGAACCUGCCCCUAAGUCUGGGAUACCAUUUGGAAACAGGUGCUAAUACCGGAUAAUAAAGCAGAUCGCAUGAUCAGCUUUUGAAAGGCGGCGUAAGCUGUCGCUAAGGGAUGGCCCCGCGGUGCAUUAGCUAGUUGGUAAGGUAACGGCUUACCAAGGCGACGAUGCAUAGCCGAGUUGAGAGACUGAUCGGCCACAUUGGGACUGAGACACGGCCCAAACUCCUACGGGAGGCAGCAGUAGGGAAUCUUCCACAAUGGACGCAAGUCUGAUGGAGCAACGCCGCGUGAGUGAAGAAGGUUUUCGGAUCGUAAAGCUCUGUUGUUGGUGAAGAAGGAUAGAGGUAGUAACUGGCCUUUAUUUGACGGUAAUCAACCAGAAAGUCACGGCUAACUACGUGCCAGCAGCCGCGGUAAUACGUAGGUGGCAAGCGUUGUCCGGAUUUAUUGGGCGUAAAGCGAGCGCAGGCGGAAAAAUAAGUCUAAUGUGAAAGCCCUCGGCUUAACCGAGGAACUGCAUCGGAAACUGUUUUUCUUGAGUGCAGAAGAGGAGAGUGGAACUCCAUGUGUAGCGGUGGAAUGCGUAGAUAUAUGGAAGAACACCAGUGGCGAACGCGGCUCUCUGGUCUGCAACUGACGCUGAGGCUCGAAAGCAUGGGUAGCGAACAGGAUUAGAUACCCUGGUAGUCCAUGCCGUAAACGACGAGUGCUAAGUGU